AGAGGUUGCAAGUUCACGGCCAUAGCAGAAGCACUCAUGGCGUGGCCCUGUCAGAUUUGAACAAAUCAGUGAAUUCUGCU
Molecule: ribozyme, 80 nt
Filed under: Crocodylus porosus (Australian saltwater crocodile)
Lineage: Eukaryota; Metazoa; Chordata; Crocodylia; Crocodylidae
Description: Mammalian CPEB3 ribozyme (ENSCPRG00005012048.1)
Rfam family: Mammalian CPEB3 ribozyme
About the family: The mammalian CPEB3 ribozyme is a self cleaving RNA located in the second intron of the CPEB3 gene which belongs to a family of genes regulating messenger RNA polyadenylation. This ribozyme is highly conserved and found only in mammals.
Source: Rfam by way of RNAcentral